UAUACCCUGGUCAUUUCAUUAGCUC
This 25-nucleotide non-coding RNA is filed under the name Rattus norvegicus (Norway rat). The record is from RNAcentral. Lineage: Eukaryota; Metazoa; Chordata; Mammalia; Rodentia; Muridae.